UCCCUGGUGGUCCAGUGAGUAUGACUCUGAGCUCCCAGUGCAGGGGAUGCAGGUUUGUUUCCUGCUUGGGGAA
This 73-nucleotide transfer RNA is filed under the name Bos taurus (domestic cattle). It matches the Rfam family "tRNA". From Rfam's summary of the family: Transfer RNA (tRNA) molecules are approximately 80 nucleotides in length. The record is from Rfam by way of RNAcentral. Lineage: Eukaryota; Metazoa; Chordata; Mammalia; Artiodactyla; Bovidae. RNAcentral also lists the same sequence under 1 other name.